AUCCAUGGUCAUACCACCCUGAACAUGCCUGAUCUCGUCUGAUCUUGGGAAGCUGAGCAGGAUCAGGCCUGGUCAGUAUUUGGAUGGUAGAAAUGGCAGUGUCUCUUCAGAUUCAAAGAUGAGGGUCACGGAGU
Molecule: ribosomal RNA, 134 nt
Filed under: Saimiri boliviensis boliviensis (Bolivian squirrel monkey)
Lineage: Eukaryota; Metazoa; Chordata; Mammalia; Primates; Cebidae
Source: RNAcentral